UUGCUGGGGUUCUCUUAGGUCAAGAUAGUAAUUGGAAGUGUCAUUUUUGCGACAAUUGAACACACUCUGCAGUCAUGUUUGGGAUAUAGCAUAUGGUUCCAUGUCCAAGUUGUUGAACUUGGGUACAACUGAGCCGGCUUUGAAGGAGAAUGAGUAUUGGACAAAGUUCUAUGUAAUGCCAUGUUGAAUGAUGUGGAACCUUUGUGGAUGCGUCUAGAAAAUUGUCAUGGUUGAUGGCCUGAGUGCCUUCUGGGAAAAAAAUGGGAUGACUAAGGAAUCCAUAGAUAUCUUGACAAGCAAUUCAAUUCGACCUGCACCGACAUAAUUUAUGGUUUUGAUCAGUAAUUUGCACACUGUUUUUCAGUUUUAGGCAUUCUGAAUUAUUUCCUAUUUGUUUAAUCCUUGCAUUGUUUUAUGCUAUCGUCAUCUGCCUUCAAGCACUUGCUUUCUAGAAUUCUUUAGGAGCUCUGAAUUACUUUACAUGUAGGUCUACACACUUUGUCACGUUUCUUGUUUACUUGCAUCGACGGAAUCCUUUAACAAACAUUCUCCAUGGAUAGUUGAUUCAGAUGUAUGAUCAGUGCAACUUCAGUCAUAUCUCUGUGAAGAUGCAAGUUCUGUCUAAUGUUGAUGGCGAGUUGUUAACUCAUAUUAUUAUUGUUCAGAAUCCUUUGAAAGACCUGCUUUGCAGACUCUCAGAGAUGUUUCAGUCUAUGCGUUCUCCCUUCAGGCAACUCUGUUUGAUACCCGUGAACUUCCCUUGUGUCAGCCUUGGACAAUAACAUUGACAGGAAUGUUAGCGAUCACCGGUAGCUGGCUAAUUUUGCAUUCAAUGUUGGUAACGACAAUUAUAUCUUUGCUAAUAUGCUCAUGGUGGUACAUCUUCCUUUACUCUUACCCUAAGGCAUACACGGACAUGAUCGCUGAGAGAAGAAAGAGGGUAAGAAGUGGCAUCGAAGAUAUAUUUGGUUCGACAAAGGCUGACGGUAUAGACCAAACGUCCAACUGAUCAUUAGCUGAAGCGGAAGAAGAAGGGAUGAAGGGUGCAAAGUGCCGGUAUCUUGCGGACUGAUGAGGAAUUUUUGAAUGUCAAAAGCAUCUCAUGGAAUGAAAAGAUCUGUAUUUAACGUGAGCAGAAAACGUUCUUCAGUUUAUAGUCGGUAGUAUUGUAUAAUUGUGUUGCAAUGAAGAAAAUACAUUUUAUGUCUCGAGAAAAUGUUGAAGAAUGUCCUGAGUUGGAAGACAGCGUGAAAUGCAAGAACUGCAAGAUUCUU
Long non-coding RNA from Eucalyptus grandis, 1274 nucleotides. RefSeq lists it as uncharacterized. The record is from RefSeq and is a predicted model, not a curated record. The transcript is spliced from 3 exons. Lineage: Eukaryota; Viridiplantae; Streptophyta; Magnoliopsida; Myrtales; Myrtaceae.